Molecule: ribosomal RNA, 454 nt
Filed under: uncultured bacterium
Lineage: Bacteria
Description: partial 16S ribosomal RNA
Rfam family: Bacterial small subunit ribosomal RNA
Source: RNAcentral
GAUGAACGCUGACAGAAUGCUUAACACAUGCAAGUCAACUUGAACUUCGGUUUGGGUGGCGGACGGGUGAGUAACGCGUAAAGAACUUGCCUCACAGCUAGGGACAACAUUUGGAAACGAAUGCUAAUACCUGAUAUUAUGAUUAUAUGGCAUCGUAUAAUUAUGAAAGCUAUGUGCGCUGUGAGAGAGCUUUGCGUCCCAUUAGCUAGUUGGAGAGGUAACAGCUCUCCAAGGCGAUGAUGGGUAGCCGGCCUGAGAGGGUGAUCGGCCACAAGGGGACAGAGAAACGGCCCUUAGUCCUACGUGGGGCAGGAGUGGGAAAUAGUGGAAGAUGGACCGAGAGUCUGAUGAAGCUAUUCUGAGUGCAAGAUGAAGUUUUUCGGAAUGUAAAGUGCUUUCAGUUGAGAAGAAAAAAAUGACGGUACCAACAGAAGAAGUGACGGCUAAAUACGUG